AUGACUUUUCUCAGAGAAGACUGUGUAAUGAACGGAGACCAAGAAGAACACUGCUCCAUUGAUUCCUAUCAAGCCAUGGGACUCUGGCUGCAGACAGUUCAUAUUGGGACUUUACCUGGGAAACAAGUUGUGGAAAUAAGUGCUGAAACAGAAUUCAUCUUGGACUUGGCAAAGCAUUUGGAAAAACUACAAGCACACAUUACUACUAUAGUGAGACAGAAAUUUUGCCAGAUAUUUCUGAACAGUUUUGCAUAAAUUUCAAUAUAUAUAUAUGUUCUUAUUUAGCAAAUGUUUAUUUAGCUAUCACUGCAGUUUUCCUUUAAGGGUCUAGGAAGGGCCCAGGGAGAGCGACAAAACCACCAGCUUUUGCUGAGGGAUGAUUUGCCCCACAGCCAUACUGUGUGCUCAGAGUCUGGAGACAAAUUUUAGGGCCUGGAUUUAUUUAUAGUGUUUAAUAGAUGCUUUGAUAAUUACUUGCAUGGGAGUGGAAAACAAAUUCUCCAGAUUAAAAACCAUAAAGAAAGCUUGUUUGGAUUAGCAUGAUCAACCAAAAGCAUCCAUUUGAUUCUUGGUGUGUAUAUAUAAUUUACUGAGCUGCAAAAUAAACACACUCUACUGUUCCUCUGUUGAAGGCUC
RNAcentral lists this long non-coding RNA (636 nucleotides) under Zonotrichia albicollis (white-throated sparrow). Its description in RNAcentral is "lncRNA (ENSZALG00000004280.1)". The record is from RNAcentral. Lineage: Eukaryota; Metazoa; Chordata; Aves; Passeriformes; Passerellidae.